UGCCAGCAGCCGCGGUAACACGGGGGGCGCAAGCGUUAUUCGGAAUUAUUGGGCGUAAAGGGUGCGCAGGCGGCGCGCUAAGUCAGGGGUGAAAUCCCACCGCCCAACGGUGGAACUGCCCUUGAUACUGGCGUGCUCGGAUUGGCGCGAGGCAGGCGGAACGCGGCAUGUAGCGGUGAAAUGCUUAGAUAUGCCGCAGAACACCGAUUGCGUAGGCAGCCUGCCAGAGCCAUAUCGACACUGAGGUGCGAAAGCGCGGGGAGCGAACAGGAUUAGAUA
Molecule: ribosomal RNA, 279 nt
Filed under: uncultured bacterium
Lineage: Bacteria
Description: partial 16S ribosomal RNA
Rfam family: Bacterial small subunit ribosomal RNA
Source: RNAcentral